CGCGGGGUGGAGCAGUCUGGUAGCUCGUUGGGCUCAUAACCCAGAGGUCGGAAGUUCAAAUCUUCCCCCCGCAACCA
This 77-nucleotide transfer RNA is filed under the name Bacillota bacterium. RNAcentral's name for it is "tRNA-Met". It matches the Rfam family "tRNA". Rfam says of the family: Transfer RNA (tRNA) molecules are approximately 80 nucleotides in length. Lineage: Bacteria; Bacillati; Bacillota. RNAcentral also lists the same sequence under 8 other names. The record is from RNAcentral.